RNAcentral lists this ribosomal RNA (404 nucleotides) under Verrucomicrobiota bacterium. Its description in RNAcentral is "Verrucomicrobia bacterium partial 16S ribosomal RNA". It matches the Rfam family "Bacterial small subunit ribosomal RNA", at positions 355 to 776 of the family's 1533-position model. The record is from RNAcentral. Lineage: Bacteria; Pseudomonadati; Verrucomicrobiota.
UGGGGAAUAUUGCACAAUGGGGGAAACCCUGAUGCAGCGACGCCGCGUGAGCGAUGAAGGCUUUCGAGUCGUAAAGCUCUGUCCUAUGGGAAGAUAAUGACGGUACCAUAGAAGAAAGCCCCGGCUAAUUACGUGCCAGCAGCCGCGGUAAUACGUAAGGGGCGAGCGUUGUCCGGAAUUAUUGGGCGUAAAGAGUGCGUAGGCGGCAAAUUAAGUCAGAUGUGAAAACUAAGGGCUCAACCCAUAGAUUGCAUCUGAAACUGAUAUGCUUGAGUCAAGGAGAGGAAAGUGGAAUUCCUAGUGUAGCGGUGGAAUGCGUAGAUAUUAGGAGGAACACCGAUGGCGAAGGCAGGUCACUGGGCCGUUACUGACACUGAGGAGCGAAAGCGUGGGGAGCGAACAGG